CUCACUGAAAAUUUCUAUUUGCGUAUCAGUGAUAACUUACUUCUUAUGAACUCAUGGUUAGUGCUUGGAUUGACUUCACGUUAUCACUUACUUCCAUCGGACUGACUUUAUGAAGUCAAUCCAAUUGGGUAUCGAAGAGACUAAACCAACCUAACAAUUGAGUAUCGAAGAGAAAUUUGUAAAGUAUUGGGCACGUAGGAAGAAAAGUUUAUCUGAAAAAUUACAAGUCUUUAUGGUAGUCAUUAUUUACUACAGCGAAUGAACUUUAAAAAAGCACAAGUUGAUCCAGUAUGAUGAUGGAGUUGUUUACUAUCCCCGAAAGUUUAAGCUGUUAGGAUUAAGGUUAACAAUUUGUUUUAUACUCUCAAAGUCACUUCAUAGCAUGCGUUCAACUUAAUUGGGAGGUUUUGCAAUUGGAAGAAUUCCAACUCAGGAUCUUCUUUGCUGAUAGGAAAGAAAGUCUUGGAAUUUACUCCUAAAAUGGAUAAUAGGUCAGCUUUUAGGUGUUAUUUUCAAGAAUCAAACUAAGGUCUUUCAAAUUGAAGAUGUCUCUGUUUGACUUGAUCCACCCAAGGGGGCAAGAAAUAGGGAGGAAAAGAAACUAUAGAAAUGAGAGAAUUACUAAUGUGGGUUUUAAAAAUGCAACCUUCCUGUUAUUACUGUGAUGCUGUGAGAGUCAUGCAUCUCCUCAUCAACUUCUGAUGUUAAAGAAGUACUGGAUACCUUCCGCAUUGCUGCUGAGCUAGGGAGUGAUUCGCUUGGAGCAUAUGUGAUUUCUAUGGCUUCUCACGUAUAGCAUACGACUUUCAUUAUGGAUUCGUAUUCCGGCUCUCCAUUUACAAGGCUAAGGAACUUGAUUUUCCAACUGCAAAGUUUCUAUACAUGAAUUGUUUGUUAAAAUUGAUAAAAUACUACCAUCUACAUUGUAAUUGGCAGGCAAGUGACAUCCUUGCAGUGGAGCUUUUGCAAAAAGAUGCACGACUUGCCGUUAGUGGACAGAUAGGAAAGCCAUGUCCUGGUGGAACCUAAGCUGCGUGUGGUUCCUUUGUUUGAAACUGUAAAGGACUUGAGAGGAGCUGGCUCAAUGAUCAGGAAAUUAUUGUCCAUUGAUUGGUACAGGGAGCACAUCAUCAAGAACCAUAAUGGGCAUCAAGAGGGCGUUUUACUGCUGCCUGGGAACUUUACAAAGCUCAAGAGGAUGUUGUAGCUGCAUGCAAUGAGUAUGAUAUCAAAGUUACCCUGUUUCAUGGGAGAGGAGGAAGUAUUGGUCGUGGAGGGGGCCCUACAUAUCUUGC
Long non-coding RNA from Rosa rugosa (rugosa rose), 1295 nucleotides. RefSeq lists it as uncharacterized. NCBI's taxonomy places the organism in Eukaryota, Viridiplantae, Streptophyta, Magnoliopsida, Rosales, Rosaceae. The record is from RefSeq and is a predicted model, not a curated record. The transcript has 3 exons.